This 276-nucleotide ribosomal RNA is filed under the name uncultured bacterium. RNAcentral's name for it is "partial 16S ribosomal RNA". It matches the Rfam family "Bacterial small subunit ribosomal RNA", at positions 82 to 354 of the family's 1533-position model. The record is from RNAcentral.
CCGUUGCCGGCGACCGGCGCACGGGUGAGUAACACGUAUGCAACCUGCCCGUGGCAGGGGGAUAAGCGGGGGAAACCCCGUCUAAUACCGCGUAACGCGGCCUUGGGGCAUCCCAAGGCCGCCAAAGGGAGCAAUCCCGGCCACGGAUGGGCGUGCGGCGCAUUAGCUAGUCGGCGGGGUAACGGCCCACCGAGGCGACGAUGCGUAGGGGUUCUGAGAGGAAGGCCCCCCACACUGGUACUGAGACACGGACCAGACUCCUACGGAAGGCAGCAG